GAUUGACAGGGGUGAUAACCAACCAGGGAAGGAAGGAGGGAACAUGAGAUCAGGAGGGACCAAUGAGAGAAACAUCUGCAGUGCAGCAAACGUGAACAAAUAGAAAAAAGGGCAUAAUUCUGAGGGGAAAAAUAUGAAAUUCGAUAAAAACUGGGGUACAACAAAUAGCGAACGUGCAUUAACAAUUCUAAUUAAUAACAGUCUCUGUCUUAACCGCAUCAUGUUAUAUAUCUUCAAAUCAUAUCUUCAUUCGUCGCUGUUCUCAGCCAUAACUUCUUGCAGCCGUCUUUUUCCAUUCAAUAAACUUUUCUUCCUCACUUUCUGUUGCCCUCCGCAUUUAUUUUUUUCUCCCUCUUUUUCAGUACAAUUAUUAGUUUUAGUAGUAGUAAUUUAUUCAGCAGUAGUAAUUUAUUUUGUGUCAGUUAAUAAACACUUCUUAUUUCAAUCCACAAAGUUUCCUUUCCACUUCUCCUCCCUGGAGGAGUGAGUGGCUAUGUGGUACUUAGUUGCCAGCUGGGGUCAAACCAUGACAGCAAGAAUGACAUUUUCUAUAUUUCCCACUCAAGAUCCAUCAUAAGCAAAUGAAAAACAAAGGAAAAAAAAUUUCAAAGCAUUUCCCACCUUUCAUUAGAAAUGUUACUGUAUUAACCUACAGAUUGUAUUGCAGCCCUGAUGUCAUGGCAGUCCAUGUGCUAAGCCAGAGAGCAGACUGUUUAGGAAGGAGUUACAGCCUCAUUGGGAUAAAAAGCUCUUCUGGAAAGAUGGUCUCCAUCCACAUGAGUAACGGACUAAGCUAAACUUCAACGAGGAACUGUUUUUUACUUUUCUUCUGCAUUCUUAUUCUGAACAAAAACACCAUAACUUUUUUGUCCCAAUUAACAAAUUAGGUUAAACUGUUAUGUAUUAGGUAAUCACCUCCUGAUAGACAUCAGUAUGACAUGAAUUCUUACUUUAAUUCUCUCCCUCUACCCAGAGGUCCCUUAAAUGGACAAAAUAAAGGCCAUUUGGCAAAAAAUGCAAAAUAAAUGGACACAUAGUAGAAUAUUUUUGCAGUUACAAGCUGGUUCACUAGAAACACAGACACACAGUAAAAAUGGAGACAGAAGUUAAUGAAGAAUGGGAGAUACAUGUGUCACAUUAUUAGCAAUGCAAAAGACCAGCUUAAGCAUGUGUUUCCCUACAUCAGCUAUAAAAAAGAAAAGGUGCCUUUUUAGCAAGUAUGCACAGAGUUUGCUUUGUUAUUUCUAAGAAAAAAAAUCAGAACACUUCACUAUUUUUAUUCUAUAUUACAGUCAUUAUUACUACCUGUUUAUAAAAUGUAAACCCUUCCUUGCAGUUAAGAUUUACAGAAGUCAUCACCUUUGUCCACUCCUUACAUAAUCAGUCCAUGGUGACAAAAAUAAACUGAUUUAUUUUACAUA
Pseudopipra pipra is the source of this 1421-nucleotide long non-coding RNA. RefSeq lists it as uncharacterized. The record is from RefSeq and is a predicted model, not a curated record. The transcript has 2 exons. Lineage: Eukaryota; Metazoa; Chordata; Aves; Passeriformes; Pipridae.